This 483-nucleotide ribosomal RNA is filed under the name uncultured bacterium. RNAcentral describes it as "partial 16S ribosomal RNA". It matches the Rfam family "Bacterial small subunit ribosomal RNA", at positions 28 to 523 of the family's 1533-position model. The record is from RNAcentral.
GACGAACGCUGGCGGCGUGCUUAACACAUGCAAGUCGAGCGAGACCCCGCUUUCGGGUGGGUGUUCUAGCGGCGAACGGGUGAGUAACACGUGGGCAACCUGCCCUCAGCUCUGGGAUAACUCCAAGAAAUUGGGGCUAACACCGGAUAUGACCGCUGACCGCAUGGUCUGGUGGUGGAAAGAUUUAUCGGCUGGGGAUGGGCCCGCGGCCUAUCAGCUUGUUGGUGGGGUAGUGGCCUACCAAGGCGACGACGGGUAGCCGGCCUGAGAGGGUGACCGGCCACACUGGGACUGAGACACGGCCCAGACUCCUACGGGAGGCAGCAGUGGGGAAUAUUGCGCAAUGGGCGAAAGCCUGACGCAGCGACGCCGCGUGGGGGAUGACGGCCUUCGGGUUGUAAACCUCUUUCAGCAGGGACGAAGCGAAAGUGACGGUACCUGCAGAAGAAGCACCGGCCAACUACGUGCCAGCAGCCGCAGUAA